GUCCACGCCCUAAACGAUGUCAACUAGGUGUUUGGAGGGUAAAACCUUUUAGUACCGGAGCUAACGCGUGAAGUUGACCGCCUGGGGAGUACGGCCGCAAGGUUAAAACUCAAAGGAAUUGACGGGGACCCGCACAAGCGGUGGAUGAUGUGGAUUAAUUCGAUGCAACGCGAAAACCUUACCUACCCUUUACAUGUCAGGAACUUGCCAGAGAUGGCUUGGUGCUCGAAAGAGAACCUGAACACAGGUGCUGCAUGGCUGUCGU
This 265-nucleotide ribosomal RNA is filed under the name uncultured bacterium. RNAcentral's name for it is "partial 16S ribosomal RNA". It matches the Rfam family "Bacterial small subunit ribosomal RNA", at positions 793 to 1055 of the family's 1533-position model. The record is from RNAcentral.